Molecule: long non-coding RNA, 264 nt
Filed under: Setaria viridis
Lineage: Eukaryota; Viridiplantae; Streptophyta; Magnoliopsida; Poales; Poaceae
Description: long non-coding RNA (SVIR_LNC007183)
Source: RNAcentral
UUAUAUUAAAUGGGCCUCGGUGGCCUACUAAUCUUUUGUUAAUUAAAUCCCAAGGCCCGUGCACAUGGUGGUAGUUACAUUUGGAAUAAAACCUCCUUGGAAGUUGAGAGGGUCCCUAACUAACUUAUAAGGUGGAGCCAUGCUGCACUUGUUGAGAAGUUGAGAGAGGAAUAGCAGAAUGCCACAUGUGCAUGCUCGCUUGCCUCACCGAGUCGAGCCACGACACGACACGAUCUCUACGGACGUGAUGUGUGGGCUGGGUUU